Small nucleolar RNA from Bufo bufo (common toad), 71 nucleotides. RefSeq annotates it as small nucleolar RNA SNORD56. Lineage: Eukaryota; Metazoa; Chordata; Amphibia; Anura; Bufonidae. The record is from RefSeq and is a predicted model, not a curated record. The transcript has a single exon.
UUGCAGUGAUGUUGAAUUUUUCGUCAACAGCAUAUCACCCCCGUGUAUGUUGAUAGCUUUACUCUGAGCAA